This 948-nucleotide ribosomal RNA is filed under the name Triticum aestivum (bread wheat). RNAcentral's name for it is "partial small subunit ribosomal RNA". The record is from RNAcentral. Lineage: Eukaryota; Viridiplantae; Streptophyta; Magnoliopsida; Poales; Poaceae.
AUGCAGUCAAAUCUGCCGGCCUUCAAGACUGCGCCCGGUGCCCAGGCAAAGCUCACAAAAAGAGCGAAGAAGACCAGGUCAGCCGGAGUGCCGGACUUACCUGACCCGGAGGUGACGGCUGAAGAGCCGCCGGCUGCCUCCGCCCCCGAAGCCACCACUUCAAUGGACACGGCACCUGAGGCCUCUGCCCCGAUUACCAAGGCAACGACCGAAGCUUCGGUUAAUCCGGAGGCCUCCGGCUCAGCUCCACCAGCAGACGACCCGGACGUGGUAAUCACCCGGACGGAGUUCGUUGAGCCGGGGAGACCGACCGUGUUGGCCAAAUGCUCCGCGAAGGGGGAGCUGCUGCAGCCCCACCGGGUGAACCUGGACCUCUCCGGCUACACCGACUUGAGCAUUGGAGAGCUCGUCUCUGGCUACAUCAGCCAAGUACACAAAAGCCGGGACGCCGAGGUCGCCAUGGUCAACCAGAUCCAACAAAAAUUUGAGGCUGUUGGCAAGAAAUUAGAGGCGGACCUUGCGGAUCUCAAGAGCCGGCUGAAGAUGCAGGAGAUGGAGACCCGGAAGGCAAACGCCAAGUUUGUAUCCAGCAUCGCCGCUCAAGAAAAAUUGAAGACCGAGUUUGAUGCUGAGAAAAAAGCCUGGGUCGAAGAGAAGGCCGCACUGGUGACCCGGGCGGAACAGGCGGAGAAGGCCCUCGCUGAGAAGACCGCCGAGCUCUCCGGCCUAAAGCGCCAGGUUUCCCAAAUGGUGGCCGCUAUCUUUGGUCCCAGGAGUGCCAACCUCAACCAGAGCGUGGUCACCAAGUUAAAGGCCGUGUACACCCUAGUGGAACAGCUCUACACCGGGUCACAGCGUGCCUUAGCUGUGCUGGCCUUAUCCAACGAGGUGCCAACUCAUCUGGCCGAAGUCCUGCGCCGGCUCGCCGUUCUGCCUCAGCGGAUCUAA